UACGUAGGGUGCGAGCGUUAAUCGGAAUUACUGGGCGUAAAGCGUGCGCAGGCGGCGCGUUAAGACAGGUGUGAAAGCCCCGAGCUUAACUUGGGAAUUGCGCUUGUGACUGGCGUGCUGGAGUGUGGCAGAGGGAGGUGGAAUUCCACGUGUAGCAGUGAAAUGCGUAGAGAUGUGGAGGAAUACCAGAGGCGAAGGCGGCCCACUGGGCUGCACCUGACGCUGAGCCGCGAAAGCCAGGGGAGCGAACGGG
This 253-nucleotide ribosomal RNA is filed under the name uncultured bacterium. RNAcentral describes it as "partial 16S ribosomal RNA". It matches the Rfam family "Bacterial small subunit ribosomal RNA", at positions 524 to 776 of the family's 1533-position model. The record is from RNAcentral.